AUUGAACGCUGGCGGCAUGCUUUACACAUGCAAGUCGAACGGUAACAGGUUAAGCUGACGAGUGGCGAACGGGUGAGUAAUGCAUCGGAACGUGCCCGAUCGUGGGGGAUAACGCAGCGAAAGCUGCGCUAAUACCGCAUACGAUCUGAGGAUGAAAGCGGGGGACCGUAAGGCCUCGCGCGAUCGGAGCGGCCGAUGUCAGAUUAGGUAGUUGGUGGGGUAAAGGCUCACCAAGCCAACGAUCUGUAGCUGGUCUGAGGGGACGACCAGCCACACUGGGACUGAGACACGGCCCAGACUCCUACGGGAGGCAGCAGUGGGGAAUUUUGGACAAUGGGCGAAAGCCUGAUCCAGCAAUGCCGCGUGCAGGAAGAAGGCCUUCGGGUUGUAAACUGCUUUUGUACGGAGCGAAAAGGUCUCCUCUAAUACAGAGGGCUCAUGACGGUACCGUAAGAAUAAGCACCGGCUAACUACGUGCCAGCCGCCGCGGUAA
Molecule: ribosomal RNA, 493 nt
Filed under: uncultured bacterium
Lineage: Bacteria
Description: partial 16S ribosomal RNA
Rfam family: Bacterial small subunit ribosomal RNA
Source: RNAcentral